Molecule: ribosomal RNA, 374 nt
Filed under: uncultured bacterium
Lineage: Bacteria
Description: bacterial SSU rRNA
Rfam family: Bacterial small subunit ribosomal RNA
Source: RNAcentral
ACGUAGGGUGCAAGCGUUGUCCGGAAUUAUUGGGCGUAAAGAGCUUGUAGGUGGUUUGUCGCGUCUGUUGUGAAAUUUCGGGGCUCAACCCCGAACUUGCAGUGGAUACGGGCAGACUAGAGUGUGGUAGGGGAGACUGGAAUUCCUGGUGUAGCGGUGAAAUGCGCAGAUAUCAGGAGGAACACCGAUGGCGAAGGCAGGUCUCUGGGCCAUUACUGACACUGAGAAGCGAAAGCAUGGGGAGCGAACAGGAUUAGAUACCCUGGUAGUCCAUGCCGUAAACGGUGGGAACUAGGUGUGGGUCUCAUUCCACGAGAUCCGUGCCGCAGCUAACGCAUUAAGUUCCCCGCCUGGGGAGUACGGCCGCAAGGCUA